This 253-nucleotide ribosomal RNA is filed under the name uncultured bacterium. Its description in RNAcentral is "partial 16S ribosomal RNA". It matches the Rfam family "Bacterial small subunit ribosomal RNA", at positions 524 to 776 of the family's 1533-position model. The record is from RNAcentral.
UACGUAGGGGGCAAGCGUUGUCCGGAAUCAUUGGGCGUAAAGCGCACGUAGGCGGCCCGGUAAGUCCGCUCUGAAAGUCAGAGGCUCAACCUCUGGAGGCGAGUGGAUACUGCCGGGCUGGAGUCCGGAAGAGGCGAGUGGAAUUCCUGGUGUAGCGGUGGAAUGCGCAGAUAUCAGGAGGAACACCAAUGGCGAAGGCAGCUCGCUGGGACGGUACUGACGCUGAGGUGCGAAAGCGUGGGGAGCAAACAGG